This 743-nucleotide ribosomal RNA is filed under the name uncultured bacterium. RNAcentral describes it as "bacterial SSU rRNA". It matches the Rfam family "Bacterial small subunit ribosomal RNA", at positions 94 to 823 of the family's 1533-position model. The record is from RNAcentral.
AGCGGCGGAUGGGUGAGUAACACGUGGGGAACCUGCCCCUAAGUCUGGGAUACCAUUUGGAAACAGGUGCUAAUACCGGAUAAUAAAGCAGAUCGCAUGAUCAGCUUUUGAAAGGCGGCGUAAGCUGUCGCUAAGGGAUGGCCCCGCGGUGCAUUAGCUAGUUGGUAAGGUAACGGCUUACCAAGGCGACGAUUCAUAGCCGAGUUGAGAGACUGAUCGGCCACAUUGGGACUGAGACACGGCCCAAACUCCUACGGGAGGCAGCAGUAGGGAAUCUUCCACAAUGGACGCAAGUCUGAUGGAGCAACGCCGCGUGAGUGAAGAAGGUUUUCGGAUCGUAAAGCUCUGUUGUUGGUGAAGAAGGAUAGAGGUAGUAACUGGCCUUUAUUUGACGGUAAUCAACCAGAAAGUCACGGCUAACUACGUGCCAGCAGCCGCGGUAAUACGUAGGUGGCAAGCGUUGUCCGGAUUUAUUGGGCGUAAAGCGAGCGCAGGCGGAAAAAUAAGUCUAAUGUGAAAGCCCUCGGCUUAACCGAGGAACUGCAUCGGAAACUGUUUUUCUUGAGUGCAGAAGAGGAGAGUGGAACUCCAUGUGUAGCGGUGGAAUGCGUAGAUAUAUGGAAGAACACCAGUGGCGAAGGCGGCUCUCUGGUCUGCAACUGACGCUGAGGCUCGAAAGCAUGGGUAGCGAACAGGAUUAGAUACCCUGGUAGUCCAUGCCGUAAACGAUGAGUGCUAAGUGU